This 726-nucleotide ribosomal RNA is filed under the name Triticum aestivum (bread wheat). RNAcentral's name for it is "partial small subunit ribosomal RNA". The record is from RNAcentral. Lineage: Eukaryota; Viridiplantae; Streptophyta; Magnoliopsida; Poales; Poaceae.
AUGGCUCGGAUGCAUUCUUAUAUGCUACAUCCUCAUGGUAUUCCUCAAUCUUUAGCCUUGCCCAACUCUGGUCUUCCUCGGUUUGGUAGAGAUGGCAUAUUGGAGCAAGCAUCAUGUCAGGAUGUCGAUGCCGAUGCUUCUCUGGCUGCUACUGAGGAUGGCAGUGAUCCUUUCACCCACCUAAAAUCAAAGACGGGAACACUAGUGGUGGGAAAGCAGCUGGAGGAAACAAGAAAGCGCAGUAACUACUUUCCUAUGGUACUUGUUGCGUGCUUGUUGCUGAUUGCACACCCUAUGGUGCUUGAUGCCGAUUGCAAUGGCAACGCUUCAUCUCCGCAGGCGAUCCAAGCUGUGCUCGUCAUCUACACUAAUUUGUGCUUCGACGAUGAGUUUCAGUGCAUGGAAAGCAUAUGUGUUUUCAACAACGACAGCUCACCGAAAACACCUAGCCAUGAAGAGUUGUGCCACUUCGAGCUGGUGCUUGUUCUUGUUGUUCUUGGAGUCUUCGAGGUGGGCGGGAGCCCCUUCUUCGUCGGCCGCUACCACACGCUCGUCGGCAAGGAGCUCUUCAUCCAUGGUGCGGCACCACUGGAUGUGGGGGAAGAUGUGCUCAUCGCACAUCAAACCCACCCUACACCCCCGGCCGCCACACCGGCAGAGCCAACCGCGCUCCCGAGCCUACAUCGACCUCCACCGGCGCCACCCUUUGUUGCUGUCAUUGCUUGA